Molecule: ribosomal RNA, 323 nt
Filed under: uncultured eukaryote
Lineage: Eukaryota
Description: partial 18S ribosomal RNA
Rfam family: Eukaryotic small subunit ribosomal RNA
Source: RNAcentral
CCCCUAGACGUUCUGGGCUGCACGCGCGCUACAAUAAUACGCACAGCGAGUAUCACCGAGCUCGAAAGGGCAAGGUAAACAAUAGAAAAGGUACUGUAAUGGUUAUAGAUCCUUGUAAUUAUUGAUCUUCAACGAGGAAUUCCUAGUAAGUAUGUGUCAUCAUCACGCACUGAUUACGUCCCUGCCCUUUGUACACACCGCCCGUCGCUCCUACCGAUUGAAUGCUCAGGUGAGCCAUUCGGACUUUCAUCAUGCUGGUUUCCAGUUUUGAUGAAGGAAAGUCUUGCGAACCUUAUCAUUUAGAGGAGGGAGAAGUCGUAACA